Long non-coding RNA from Apodemus sylvaticus (European woodmouse), 500 nucleotides. RefSeq lists it as uncharacterized. Lineage: Eukaryota; Metazoa; Chordata; Mammalia; Rodentia; Muridae. The record is from RefSeq and is a predicted model, not a curated record. The transcript has 3 exons.
CUCCACAUGAACACAAACAAUUAGAAGGGCUUGCCAACCACAUCUGUCUGCUCAUCUAUGCCUAUUCCCACAGGUUCUGACUUCCUGCCACCGGAAUCAAAGUUUCAAAGAAUAAUUCCCGGACCCCGGGGUGUUUGCAGGACCCUAGUAAGGUUCUAUAAGAACUGUCGGGUGAACGGAUCGCAGUCAUAAAUGAAGAAGGUCCUCCCCAGGAUGCCAGAAGAGGAUGCCGGAGACCCUGGAAACUGGAGUUACAGGCAGCUUGGCUAUGAGCCACCAUUCGGGUGCAGUCUCUGGAAGACCAGCCAGUGCUCCUAACCACUGUACUCUCUCUCUCUAGCCCGCUGUCUGCUGAUUUUCAGAAAAUUUCCCCUUCUCUUGUUAAGAAUAAAGAGCUCUAAGCCUCUAUAAGGAAGCAACUGGAAUUAGUGUUAACACAAAAUGUAUUAACAUAAUUUAAUAACGUAUUAAAUGUAUUAAUAUUAAAACGUAUUAAUAUA